Molecule: ribosomal RNA, 1500 nt
Filed under: metagenome
Description: bacterial SSU rRNA
Rfam family: Bacterial small subunit ribosomal RNA
Source: RNAcentral
AGAGUUUGAUCAUGGCUCAGAUUGAACGCUGGCGGCAGGCCUAACACAUGCAAGUCGAACGGUAACAGGAAGAAGCUUGCUUCUUUGCUGACGAGUGGCGGACGGGUGAGUAAUGUCUGGGAAACUGCCUGAUGGAGGGGGAUAACUACUGGAAACGGUAGCUAAUACCGCAUAACGUCGCAAGACCAAAGAGGGGGACCUUCGGGCCUCUUGCCAUCGGAUGUGCCCAGAUGGGAUUAGCUAGUAGGUGGGGUAACGGCUCACCUAGGCGACGAUCCCUAGCUGGUCUGAGAGGAUGACCAGCCACACUGGAACUGAGACACGGUCCAGACUCCUACGGGAGGCAGCAGUGGGGAAUAUUGCACAAUGGGCGCAAGCCUGAUGCAGCCAUGCCGCGUGUAUGAAGAAGGCCUUCGGGUUGUAAAGUACUUUCAGCGGGGAGGAAGGGAGUAAAGUUAAUACCUUUGCUCAUUGACGUUACCCGCAGAAGAAGCACCGGCUAACUCCGUGCCAGCAGCCGCGGUAAUACGGAGGGUGCAAGCGUUAAUCGGAAUUACUGGGCGUAAAGCGCACGCAGGCGGUUUGUUAAGUCAGAUGUGAAAUCCCCGGGCUCAACCUGGGAACUGCAUCUGAUACUGGCAAGCUUGAGUCUCGUAGAGGGGGGUAGAAUUCCAGGUGUAGCGGUGAAAUGCGUAGAGAUCUGGAGGAAUACCGGUGGCGAAGGCGGCCCCCUGGACGAAGACUGACGCUCAGGUGCGAAAGCGUGGGGAGCAAACAGGAUUAGAUACCCUGGUAGUCCACGCCGUAAACGAUGUCGACUUGGAGGUUGUGCCCUUGAGGCGUGGCUUCCGGAGCUAACGCGUUAAGUCGACCGCCUGGGGAGUACGGCCGCAAGGUUAAAACUCAAAUGAAUUGACGGGGGCCCGCACAAGCGGUGGAGCAUGUGGUUUAAUUCGAUGCAACGCGAAGAACCUUACCUGGUCUUGACAUCCACGGAAGUUUUCAGAGAUGAGAAUGUGCCUUCGGGAACCGUGAGACAGGUGCUGCAUGGCUGUCGUCAGCUCGUGUUGUGAAAUGUUGGGUUAAGUCCCGCAACGAGCGCAACCCUUAUCCUUUGUUGCCAGCGGUCCGGCCGGGAACUCAAAGGAGACUGCCAGUGAUAAACUGGAGGAAGGUGGGGAUGACGUCAAGUCAUCAUGCCCCUUACGACCAGGGCUACACACGUGCUACAAUGGCGCAUACAAAGAGAAGCGACCUCGCGAGAGCAGGCGGACCUCAUAAAGUGCGUCGUAGUCCGGAUUGGAGUCUGCAACUCGACUCCAUGAAGUCGGAAUCGCUAGUAAUCGUGGAUCAGAAUGCCACGGUGAAUACGUUCCCGGGCCUUGUACACACCGCCCGUCACACCAUGGGAGUGGGUUGCAAAAGAAGUAGGUAGCUUAACCUUCGGGAGGGCGCUUACCACUUUGUGAUUCAUGACUGGGGUGAAGUCGUAACAAGGUA